AGUUUCGUUGCUAAGCCUCAAACAUCGCAAUCGAAGCAGUGAUCUUUUUUCAGUUUGCACGUCGUUCUCCCCUCGUGCGCUCUACUGUCGUCAGCCUCUCCAACCAGCACCUACAUGCGUGACCAGCCAACCACCUUCAACUGAUUCACCUGCUGACCUUGCAAUACAUGAAAGAUUUCAUCAGGCAUAUGUAGCCUGAAAAUUGAAAGAGUCUUCUUUAAUUGUUCUACUCUAUCUUGAUGGAUGUGGUGCUAGAAUGGUUUGGUGGUUGAAUCAUGGAGAGGCUCAUUCACAUCGACUUUAUGUACCUGCAAAAUCAAUAUAUUUGGAGCAAAAGCAUAAAUAAGGAGCUGGAAAGGUGGCAAAAUCCCCCCCCCUUUGAUCCAGUCUGUCAUGUUUGCUUCCAAAGAAACACAUAUCAGAGAUCAAAAUGCAUCUCUCAACAAAUGGUUAUGGCUUCUACGAGAUGUCAUUGAUGAGGCAAAUGAUUUGCUCGAUGUGUUUGAGCACAAGCAACUUCAGAAGCAGUUGAACAUAAAGGAAAGACUUAUAAAAUUUGGUAAAUGUGCUAUCUAUAUUGAUUCCACAUUGAAGAAAGUGGAGGUGGUAGUGAAUAAACUUGAUGAAGUUUCAGUUGAUGUUUGUUUGUGUUUCCAACUCUUUUGAUGAUAAAAGAGUCAUUAAAGAUACGUUGGCAUCCCAUGAAGGGAAGAUGUAGGAUUUGGAGUCACUUAAUACACUUCAAGAGAGUCUUAAAGUCAAGGUGAUGUCCAAAAAAUUUUAGUCAUUCUGGAUGACAUUUGGGAGGAGUAGGAUAAAGUCAAAUGGGAGAGAAUGUGUUGGCACCUCUGGCCUAUGGAAGUUUGGGAAGCAAAAUUUUGAUAACAAGUCGAAUAGGCUCUAUUGCAAUGAUGAUAUCAAAGGUAAUUAAGAAGAAAUUGGAAAUAUUAAGAUUAUGAGGCUUGGAUGAAGUGAGUGUUUGCAACUCCUCAACUAUCAUACAUUUGUUAAUAUGGGGAAUCUUGAUGAUAAUAAGAAAAUAAGAGUCAUUGCUGGACAGAUAGUUAAAGAGUUCUAAGAAUCUCUGUUGGUAGCAAUGGUCAUCCGCGGUGUUUUAAAUUUUAGUUUUACUGAAUGAUAUUGGAUGAAAGUCUUAAACAAUAAUUUUGAAAUUAUAAAAUUGGAUCAUAAUUUUAUCAUACAUAUCUUAAGAUUAAGAUAUACAUUUUUGCCAAAACAUCUAUAGAAUUAUUUCACUUUUAUAGAUCAGUUGCUUGGAGUGGCACACUUUACUUCCUUUUUUGUAUUUCUUUUUCUCAAGUUUCUUACUCUUGUUCGUAUGCCAAAAGUAAAACAACUUUGUAGUAAAUUGUAUGGGAAUGAUAGAGAUUUUGUCUUUCAAACUCUAGAGAUGUUGUGUAUCAAAAAUUUGAAUGCACUGGAGAAUUGGUUUGAUGCGGCUAUAGGGGAAUAUUAUUGAAUGUUUAUGAUAGGAAAUACUUGAGUUCGCAAGUAACCUUAAGGGUAAUACUUGAGUUUGCUAGCAAACCUAUCACCAAUUGGUUAAAAUUAGCGAUGAUAAUGCAAAAUAUGGGUGAAAACAGCCCAAAACAAUAUAUUCUAGUAGGAAAAUCAAAGCGAAAUAAUAAAGAAAACAAGAUACAAGAGAUCCUCAAUUCUAGAGGAGGAUUGUCUCUCCCAAAUCUCUAGACAAGAGAGUCUAGAGCCAAGUCGCCAAGAAACCCUAAUUGAGCACAAAUAAAAAAAUAAUCAUUCUCUAAACAUCUUAUGCUCUUAAUACAAACACUUUCUUAUUCUAAUCUCCCUUCCCAGACCUAGCCACUCCCUCCUUUUCAAUUUGAAAUCCAUUGGGCUAGUUGGUGCCCACCAUGUGGUCGGGCAAGAGCUAGGGAGGCGGACAUGUUCUGCCUCCUAUAAACUUGAGCCGGUUGGACCGGUUCAGGGUGAACCGGCCUAACAGUUUCCAUGCUUGAGAGAACUAUGCCUAGAAAACUGAUCAAAUUUGCAAGAGUUGCCCGCUUGGCCUCCUAUGCUCAAGACAUUAAAUGCAAAUAACAUUGGAUGGAAAGCUUUAAACUGUUAUAGCAUCUCAGAGUCUGUUCCCCUUGAAGUUUUAAAAGUCUUUUGUUGUUCAAACAUCACAUCUCUUCCCCUAGCUGAUGAAAUUCCUGCACUCAAAUGAUUGGAAAUUAGAGAUUACCCCAAUUUGAUCUCACCCGAAGGACUACAAGAAGUGGAGACUACUGAGACUCGCCAGCUCAGUAUAAGUGAACUUGAUAUUAAUGAUCCAUCUGUUUUGCUAAUGACACCAUUAAGAACUCCAUCCAAAAGUUAACAAUUGAGGAUAAAAAAUGAGCUGGCUUAGUUUCCAAUUUAGGCAGAGCAGUGGUUUUUGCAAGUUAGCUCGUCUAUUUAUGAGUUGAACUUUAGAAGGAUCAAAUCCUUACAAUCUCUCCCUUAUUGGAAUGUCUUUCUUCACUUAAGGUUUUACAUUUACAAUAAGUUGCUGAACUCCAAAAGUUGCCGAACAUCCCUACCUCUUUGGAAUGAUUAGUACUUAUCCAACUCUAAUUAUUAUAGAUCCAACCUUCUUGCCUAUCUUUCUCCUAUUCGUCGCUUCAAAAACUUUUCAUUUCUGAAGUUUAUCCAUCUAGAAUCUCUUGGUAGCUUGGAUUGCCCACCUUCUUGCCUUUCUAGCCUUUCUUCUUUUCAUGAACUUCACAUUAAUUUUGUUCUUCGGAUCUGAACAUUACCUACCCUAGCUACUUUUGCGUGAACUAAAUUUAGGUCACCUUGCAAACGUGCAUUCCCUGCCUUCUAAUCUUCCAAGUAUUUUUUCUAUAAAAAAAACUAAGAAUCAAUAUGGUUCCAAAUAUUCGAGAAUUGUCAGACCUCCCUUCCUCUGUGUUUUUUGCAUCUAGAAUCUCUUGGUAGCCUGGAUUACCCGCCUUCUUGCCUUUCUAGCCUUUUCUUCUUUCCAUGAACUUCACAUUAAUUUUGCCCUCGGAUCCGAACAUUACCUUCCCUACCUCCUUUGCGUGAACUAAAUUUAGUCACCCUUCAAACUUGCAUUGCUUGCCUUCUAAUCUUCCUGGUCUUUUUUCUCUAAAAAAAAAAAAACUAAAAAUCAAUAUGGUUCCAAAGAUCCGAGAAUUGUCAAAUCUCCCUCCCUCUUUGUGUUUUCUUUACUAGAAAAUCUUCAUAGCCUAGAUUGCUUGCUUUCUUGCUUCCUAGCCUUUGUUCCCUCCAAGAAUUUUGUUUCUUUUAGUACCCCGAACACCAAAGUCACUCCAAUCUAAAGUUAACAACUUUAAAUUCUUCUUGUCACUUAAUUUUGCAGUGCAAGCGUCUUUGGUAUCAUUUAUGCUCUCAAGAAAUUUGAUAUGUAAUAGUUGAAUGAUUAUUCAUCUGCUCUUGAUCUCCAAUUCUAUAAUCAGUCUUAUUUUUAAAGCAAACUAAUUCCAGCUAUUGAAGAGAUUAGAUUUUUAACUCCACUAAUCCAACGAUACAUAUGUGUAGACAACAUCAGCAUACGCAGAUAAGAUUGAUUUCUCAUUUCCGUUGGAAAGUAAUUAUGAGGUGAGCAAUAUCUAUAAUAUAUUAAGAACUGUAAGUAAUGGAGACUAUAUAAAGAUCUGCAAAGUAAUAGUGGUCUUCAUUUCUAAAUAUGGAGAAUGUAUCAGAAUUUAAUUAUCUUAGGUAUUGUUUUAAAAAAUGGAGCAUCUAUGCAUGGCAAAAGUAUGCUUCUUAAUUCUUUAAAAAUUUUAGAAAGCACCUUAUCAAAAUCAUGAUUGUUUUGUCCAAAAUAUAAAUGAAGAGAACACAAAUAUUUAAAUUUAUUCAUCUUCCCGAGUAGUUUUAGAUUGCUGGUAUUAAUAUACAAGUGUCGAAUUAUUUCAGAAAUAUUUGAGGGCAAAUCUUCAUUAUCAAUAACUCUAAAGUAUUCAAAUGUAGAAAUAGAUCAUUCCAAUUCAUAUAAUAAAUCAUGCAUUUUGUAAUAUGGUAUAAUCUUAGUAUCAAUCUUUUAAAAGAAAGAUUUCUUAAUCAGAACAUUAAAAUACUUUUCUCAAAUAUCCUUCAUUGUUUCUCUUGGAUUAUGAGAUGACUAAAUAAUUCCCAAUGUGAUCCACAUAAUAAUUAACGUUUCUUGUUUGAAGUUGUGAUCUUGUGGGAAUAUGAAACAAAAAGUGAAACCAUUUUGUAGAUGCCUUGGCAAAAAUUUAUAGCUUAGUCUUAAGAUGUGCAUAAUAGCAUUCUGAUCUAAUUUUAUGCUUCAAAAAUUACUAUUUAAAAAUUUUAUCUAAUAUAUUUCAGUGAAGUUAGAAUUUAAAAUGCCACCGAUGACUCUUUGCUGCCAAUGGAGAUCCUAAGAGCUUUUAAUUAUCUAUCUAGCAAUUACUCUUAAUCCAGACCUCUCCCACUCCUUGGAAAAUAUGAUCAUCAACAAUUGUCGUCCAUAAUUGCAGAAAUGUUAUCAAAUGAUUUCAAGUAAUGACAGGCACAAGAUUGUUGACAUUCCUCAUUUUCAUAUUUCUAUAAUAUGGUAUAUUGUGAGGCAUUUUUCAUGCUCCAACUAUGACUUCUAGAAAGACAAUCUAAGCACUGCUCCAAUUUCAUCGUGCAUAAGACCUGAAACAACUUCUUUACUGAAGUUUUCAUACUUUUUGUGAGAUUUGCUUGUUGACACAUGGGAAUUGGAAAGAAACAAAAGGCCGAAGUGAAAUUAUUUAUAGUUCUCUUCUUUGGUUCUCUUGCUUUCUAGAAAUAGUCUAGUAGAAAAAGGUGUUAUGUGGUGAAGUCUUUUCAAUGGAGUUUAUCAUGUUGCCAUUUACUGUUUUUUAUGAUUCAUUGAUGAAAUUCUAUUUACAUCUAGUUUUGUUGAUUUUGCUUGUUUUCAUACUAGGUGUCAUUUUGAUUCUAGGACUACUCUAUUGCUUAGUUAACUAUUUCAAAGUUUGCAUUCAACAUUUUCCUUAAAUUUAUCGUGAUUUGUUUGCUGAGAUUUCUUAAAGAUCCUUCAAUGAAAAUCUUUGUGUUGCGAUAAUUUUUUUAGAACAUGUCACUGGGUUGAAUGAAUAUUAUGAUUGGGAGUUGGUAGAGAUUAUAUCAUUAAUACAUUAAAUGACAUUUUAAUCUUAUUCUAAUUAUCACAUGCGUUGGAUUUAUUUUCUUAGCUUCUUUUUUUAGAAUAUGAUGUUCUAGACUUCUUGAAAGUACUGUUUGUUGCGAUGCAUUGUUGGAUUCAAUUAUUGUCCCUAUUUUUUUGGAGUAUCGCUCGAGUAUGGGAUACUUUUGCUUAUCAUCCGAUCUGGCCUAUUGUGAUUAACAUUUUUUAUCAUCUUAUGGAAGCUGUUGAUUAAUGGUCAUUUAUCUUAUCAUUUUCUUGAUUUUUAGGAUUAUUACUAUUUCUUAUUGUAAUUAUUUUUGAGUUUAUUUAUAUGUUCACAACUUUAAUGGUUUGGAUUGAACUCUAGGUUCUUUUAUCUUUUGUAUAUUAUAAGGGUUUAAUAGAGUACAUGCUUUUAGUCUUCGAUCAUUAUUUUCUUAAAGUCUCAUUCAUACUCCAUUAAUUGUAACUUUGGUUAGACUUUUGAAAUAUCAUUUAUUUUUCCCUAUCUCUCAUAAUGGUUUAUUGAUUUGAAUCAUUAUUUUGGAUUUUUUUCUUGUUUCACAAAUUUACACUAAGUUGUAAUCCUCUUUGUGGAUGCUAGGAAUCACUAAAUCAUUUAAUGUUUUAUAUUUCUUUAGGUAUGUCAUUUAAUGUUUUAUAUUGCUUUAGGCCAUACGAUGCAGAACUAUGCAUUAGUAGAAGUUGUUCAUAUUUUACUUAAAAGUGUGACUUGUGAUUCUUCUUUUUUUCUAAUCAUUCUUUUUAUUUAAAAAAGAUCUUCACCGUUUGAUUAGCGCCUUUUCAAAUCCUAUUCUUAUGCUUAGCUAUUAAGUUUGCUAAUUCUUAUUCGGCUUCAUGUUAAGAAUAGUUUUGAAAGAGUAGAAGUUUCUUAGCAAGUUGUUCUUGUCGGAUUGUAGUCAAAACGGGAGCCCCUCCAUGUGCUUCCCGUGAAGAGGAGUUUUGAAAGAGUUGCUAAAAAAGCUUUACGCGAUAUUCUAUGGUUUAGGGAGUUUGCUGCGAAUUCACAAUGUUGUUUCUAUCGGAUCGGAAGUCAUGACGGGAGUUCGCUGCGAAGUGACGAAGGUAAUUGUUGUAGUUCAGCACCACCAUUUGAACAAAGGACUGAUCAUUGAAAUUACUCUCUCAUCUAUUGCCAUUUCAUGCGUAGAUCUAUCUAUCAUUUUCUUCUGGAUCAUCUGGCCAAAGAAUCACCUGGUUCAAUGCUUCAAAGACAUCCAAACCUUGUCUGAGCUUGAAUUUGUAGAAACAGUUUUUAACAGUAUGCUACAUGUAUAUUACAUUUGGUGUAGAUUAUGCUACUAAAGGACUUCCUUGGGUCCAAUUUUUAGCUAGUUUAAUUCAAUACAGAUGAUGAACAAGAAAACAUUUUUUGCAAAGAUCGAGUACUCAUCUUUGGAAUUGGCCACCAAAAAUUUUAGUAAGAAUAAUAUUUUGGAAGAAGGGAGGCUUGGCCAUAUUUAUCAAUCUUGCUUUGAUGGAGUUCUUGCAGCAGUAAUGAAGUUAGAUGGCUGUGGUCAGGACUAUGAGAGAAUAUUUGAUAUAAAUUCUAUCUCUCCAUUUUCUUAACUAUCUAUAUCAGUUGACUAGUUUACGUUUGAACUACUAAUUCAACUUGCAUUUGUAGAAUGAAUUGGAUUUUUUAGUAAGAAUCGAAAACCCAAAUAUUGUCUCACUUUUGGGUUAUUGCAUGCAUGGGGAAACCACAUUCCUUGUCUAUAAGUUGCUGCAUAAUGGUUCUUUGGAAAAAAAUUGCAGGAACUUUCUUUUUGUUGUCUUGGAAUAAAAAUAAAAAUAGUAGAUUUUUAGCUUGAAGCAAAUUCUCAUGGACCAGCUUUAACUUGGCAUUUGCGAAUGAAAAUUACACUCGAGACAACAAGAGGACUUGAAGAUCUUAAUGAGCACUGCUACCCUCCUGUGAUUCAUUGUGAUUCAUUGAGAUUUGAAGCAUGGUUCAAGCUUUUCAAAUAUAGUACAAUGGGGUUUUUAGAUGAAGAAAGCAAC
This is a long non-coding RNA of Dendrobium catenatum, 7153 nucleotides long. RefSeq lists it as uncharacterized. The record is from RefSeq and is a predicted model, not a curated record. NCBI's taxonomy places the organism in Eukaryota, Viridiplantae, Streptophyta, Magnoliopsida, Asparagales, Orchidaceae. The transcript is spliced from 7 exons.